Molecule: unclassified non-coding RNA, 336 nt
Filed under: soil metagenome
Description: partial contains 5.8S ribosomal RNA, internal transcribed spacer 2, and large subunit ribosomal RNA
Rfam family: 5.8S ribosomal RNA (bases 1-120)
Source: RNAcentral
GAUGAAGAACGCAGCGAAAUGCGAUAAGUAAUGUGAAUUGCAGAAUUCAGUGAAUCAUCGAAUCUUUGAACGCACAUUGCGCCCGCCAGUAUUCUGGCGGGCAUGCCUGUUCGAGCGUCAUUUCAACCAUCAAGCCCCCGGCUUGUGUUGGGGACCUGCGGCUGCCGCAGGCCAUGAAAAGCAGUGGCGGGCUCGCUGUCACACCGAGCGUAGUAGCAUACAUCUCGCUCUGGGCGUGCUGCGGGUUCCGGCCGUUAAACCACCUUCAUAACCCAAGGUUGACCUCGGAUCAGGUAGGAAGACCCGCUGAACUUAAGCAUAUCAAUAAGCGGAGGA